This is a non-coding RNA of Schizosaccharomyces pombe (fission yeast), 897 nucleotides long. The record is from the annotation of a GenBank genome assembly. Lineage: Eukaryota; Fungi; Ascomycota; Schizosaccharomycetes; Schizosaccharomycetales; Schizosaccharomycetaceae.
CACUCCAAAUUUGUAAUAGACACUUCUGAAGAGGCAUUUUCAUCAUAGUCAUACCAAUCAUCCUCUAAUACUAUUUCGUCAAAAAGUGUAUUACUUUCAGCACCAUUAGCUAUCCAUUCUCCCUGAGGAAUGAAUUCGACUAGUUCACAUCCUCUGCAUUCCAAUACGAGAACUUUUUUCGUCUCUUGAGAAUCAUUGUAAGGAGAGAAUGGCCCCUCUAUAACGAAAGAGCAAGUUUUGCGACAAUUUUUGCACGUCCAUAUGAGAUUAGCCUCGCCCUUGCUGCCAGGUAUGCUGUGAGUCUCGCUGCGGGAGAUUUCAAUGGCAUUGUCGUGAAUCUCUCGACAACCACUACAUUGGACUUUAAAAGCAUAAUAGAAGGAUUCUUCAUCCUUGGGAGCUAAAUUUUUCACACCAGUCAACUCAGCGUUUAAGUUAAGAGCAAAUUUUCCCAUAUUGCGAAAGAAACUCUAGGAAUGCAGCUUAACAAGCCGUUAUAUGUAAUAAAUUGAAAGAACAAGAAGAUAGUAGAGUAUGGGUAUGUUGUUCGAAACGAAUCUGUAUUUUGGAGGAUUAGAGUAAUUUGCCUUUUGGUGGAUUACGAUGGUGAAUGAAUGAAUAUGCAUGAAUAGAUACACCUAUUUUAAGUCCGUAGAAUGUGAGGGGCAGAAAAAAACUCAAUUAAAGCAUACUUUUCAAUGAAAUUAAAAAAUUACAGAAAUGCUAAAUUUGAAGUAAUUGGAUACGUUUUUCUCAUUGAAAUAAUAUAUUGAUGAAGAAUAUAACAUAGUCAAUUAUUAAAUGAGACUUGGCAAAAUCUAAAUAUCAGCUAAGAUAGCUGUUCAUUUGAGUGAAUUACUUGGAGUUUGCUUAGUGACGGAUACAUAGUUAGUCUAA